AUGGACUGCUCAUCAGAAGAAACCCAUAGAUCAGAUAGUCCUUAUUGGUUGUAUAGGGGCCCUCGUACCCCGUCGCCAUUGUCUUCCCCCGCCAUGGACGACUCUGUGUCGAGCAAUGAGGACAUUGAAAACCAGAUGCCUGAUGGUAUGUCCGUCUUUAGUACGCCUGUGUCUAACUAUGUCGAUAGUUGUGGAGAUGCGGUACUGCUUAAUGCUCCACUCAAAAGAACGAGGCCUGUUUUAGGCUUGAGAGACCGGAGUGCCGGGGAUUCAUUCACCCACGUUGGUGAAUACGGCUUGGGGUAUGUAAUAUCAUGGGUCGAUGGCUGUGUUAUUUUGAAAGUUAAAGAUUGUGCUACAGAGUGGCGGAUGAACGUUCACGAGUGGAAUUUUUUCUUGGAGAAUUUAUGCCCCAUGCUAGACGGCGGCGAGGGUACAUGGCAUGGGGGACCCCAUGAAUACCGUUGGACCUUUCAGUAUGAACCGAGGAUUCAACAUCGUUUGGCAUGCACCUUUCAGUAUGAAUCGAGGAUUCAUCGCAUGGAUGCAAACUAUCAUACGAAGAGCCCACAGGAUUUCAUUUUUUUCAUACGCGGUGUUGAUACAGACGAGCUACCACAGUGCUAUGAUAUGCAUUGCAUCGGUAGCUCUCCUCUACGCACCAGUGUUUUAGAAGCUGCUGAUUAUUUUGAUAAUGUCUUUUUCAUGCAGUGGGCUGAUCUGUCUGCACUACGUGGAAUUUUUGCAGAGAUUGAUUCUUUGGCUAAGACGAAUGAAGAACCAUGGAGCACAACUGAUGAUGAAUGCCGAAUGUGCCUGUUUGAGUCGUCUGGGUUUGAUGAUGGGGUACAUGCACAGGUCAAUGAUGAACAUGUUCAAGGUGGGGGUGUGGCUAUGGAGACUGCUGAUUUAAAGGCUGUGCAACCCGGACCCCACUGGCUUCAAGAGUAUGCCGUCUAUCUGACCGGAUUGAAUCUGACCUUCCUACACGUCGGAGAGGACAGUGAGCUGGAGGUGGACACUGCUAUGAGAGACGACGGAUGGCCUGUAUCAACACAGAUCCGUUUAAACCCUGCAUCGCUGGCUGUUCUGCGAUUUACCACGGGGGUCUGUGUGGUGGCCAUCAUCAGCCAUCAGAAGCAAGCGGACUGCUGGGGAUGCCAGUGUGAUUGCCCAAGUCAACGACGCCAUUCAUGCCUGCAGGGAGCGACACAUCAUCACUACGAAUCCCACUACCAUGACAUUUGUGUCAUCCUGGACAGACAUCCCUUCCUGUUACUUUUAGAAACUGUUCUAAAGAAGACUACAGGGUUGACUGUGUCCCCCGGAAAAAUCUAUGGUGUGGUCGAAUCUUAUCUAUGUGAUUUAAUAUGCAAUACCUAUAAUACAGAAAAACUGGAUUCAUUGACCACCGAAGGAGUGUCCGAUGAACAUCUGCUUCUGAUACAUGAAGCCAUACAAAUGUGGCGCCCUACAUUGUCAUUUUGCAAACCAAAGCCUGGUGGUGGUGGGUGGCGUUUAUAAUGGGGGUGUUGUUUUCUUAUGCGUAUGAUGCGGAUAGCAAGAUUGUAUCGGAUAGACUAUCCGUUUUGAUGUAUGCUGCCAUAGAAAAUGAUACAUAUGUCCAGCAUAAUGCCUAUAUCAAAUGUACGUAUAAGGGUUGGAAUGAUCUGGUCAUGAAAUUCUUGUGUGAUAAACCUACUGAUCAAAUGUUAGCUGAAGUAUUUACCCAUUUCCCCGAUGGUGACUGUUUUACCGUCGGACAUGUCAUGUGUAUAUGUGCUUUUGUAUCGGAUGUCUUGAAGUUGAAUAAUGCCUCAAACGCCGAGGGUAUUAGAACUGCUAGAAUGAUGGCUUGUAAAAUGGUGCAGAAAAAUAAAAUUUCAUGUAAACUUUAUCUGAGAAUUGUUUUGAACGGCCAGACAUUUUAAAUAAAAGGAUGGAUAACUCUGAGCAGUGUUUCAGUAUUCGUUUUUUGUCGCAGACAUACGACAUGGAUAAACGGCUGCAUAAGACUUAUUAUGAUCCCUCCGGACCAGGGGGUUACGGCGGCAUCAAUAAACUAAGAACGGCC
This is a long non-coding RNA of Gadus morhua (Atlantic cod), 2074 nucleotides long. The record is from Ensembl. Lineage: Eukaryota; Metazoa; Chordata; Actinopteri; Gadiformes; Gadidae.